Molecule: ribosomal RNA, 404 nt
Filed under: Fusobacteriota bacterium
Lineage: Bacteria; Fusobacteriati; Fusobacteriota
Description: Fusobacteria bacterium partial 16S ribosomal RNA
Rfam family: Bacterial small subunit ribosomal RNA
Source: RNAcentral
UGGGGAAUAUUGCACAAUGGAGGGAACUCUGAUGCAGCGACGCCGCGUGAGUGAUGAAGGAAUUCGUUUCGUAAAACUCUGUUCUAUGGGAAGAAAAGGACUGUACCAUAGGAGAAAGCUCCGGCUAAAUACGUGCCAGCAGCCGCGGUAAUACGUAUGGAGCGAGCGUUGUCCGGAAUUAUUGGGCGUAAAGGGUGCGCAGGCGGCUUUACAAGUUGGAUGUGGAAUAUUGUGGCUCAACCACAAACGUGCAUCCAAAACUGCAAAGCUUGAGUUAAGGAGAGGUAAGUGGAAUUCCUGGUGUAGCGGUGGAAUGCGUAGAUAUCAGGAGGAAUACCGGUGGCGAAGGCGACUUACUGGACUUAAACUGACGCUCAGGCACGAAAGCGUGGGGAGCAAACAGG